AAUUAUAAGAAUAACAACAAAUGAAUCAAUAGUAAUUUGAAAAAUAAAAUAGAUGCAGUAAAUCUAAUAUGUUAAUUUUUGUUAUAGUAAUAGAUGGCGUUACCUUCAUUCAUAAGUCUUAGCUUAAUUUAUAAGUAUCGAUAUUAUUAGGAUGUAUAUCAUGUUUCGAGUUUGAGCUCAAAAUCUCACAGUUAUUCUUAAAUUUCUUUACCCUUUCAUCUAUAGACAAUAAAUAUAGAAUUGUCUUCAAAUUGAUUGGGUGAUGCUGGACAAGUGAACCCUUUUGCACCAUAUAUUCGUAGAAUGACAAUCGUAAAUUGCAUAUGUGCGAACCAUCAGAACUCAUUUCAAUGUUGAUGGAAAAUUUUAUUUUGAUCGGGUGAUUUAUUUUUUGAUAAUCAAACUCAGGGCAGGGACGAAGAAUAGGUUAAUCGAUAAAGGCUAUUAAUCUUGUUGUUAUGUCGAAAUUGUAUUGGGAGUUUUAUACUUCUCAUAAUAAUUAAGCUAUUUUAUUUUGAUCCAAAGUUGUUCAGAAAUGUUCUCCAAUCUCUUGUCUUAUACCUUCUUCUAUUUGGGCUAGUAUUAAAAGCUUGUGAUAUAUUGUGUUGGAUAAUUUUGAGUGUCAAUUUGGGGGUGAUAAAGAGGUGGAAUUUUGGAUUGACUUAUGGGUUGAUCAUCAUAUGGUUUCCCCUCGCGAUAUUCCUUAUAGUCUUCACGAUAAUAUUGAUGCUAAAGUUAGUGAUUUUAUCAAAUAUGAUAAGUGACUCCUUCCAGGUUUAUUUAUCCACAAGUAUCCAAACAUCCUUGAGAUUUUGAAGGAUGUAUGCAUUCCUCUUAACCAAAUCCUUGAUAAAAGAAGGUAGCUGCAUACAAAUUGAGGUUCGAUCACUCUUAAAGAAGUCUACUAAUUCCUCAAUUCAGAUGGUCUUGUUCUUAAUUGGGCCAAGCUAAUUUGGAACCAUUUCAUUCAUCCAUCUAGAUAUUUGAUUUGUUGGGAAAUGCUUCAUAAUUGUCUCCCUACCAAUGAUAAUCCCUAGAGUAAGGGGUUAUGUUACAGUACCUAUGUGUAAUCUUUGCUCUUCUGUUGCCGAGACAAACCAACAUUUAUUUUGUGGUCGUUUUUUUGUCUGCCAUGGCUGGUCUUGGAUGAGUUCCACUUUUCAUCACAUUAUUGACAUCGCAUUAGUGAGAUCUAUUUUAUCUAUAUGUAAAAAAAUGUGAGUGUCACAAGCAAAAAAUGUUAUCUCAUCGAUCAUUGUCAAUUCUUUUUAGAGCAUUUGACACUAUCAAAGCAAGCUUUUGUUUCAAUAAUAAUACUAUUUCCCUUUAGGCCACCUCUUACCUUAUAUUUGCGGACAUCUCUCUGAUUGAUCACCUAAGUAAAAGGGUGGCUUCAACCUUUAUUUAGGAAUUCACCGUCUUCAUUUUUUUCCCACGUUUAUGAUAAU
RNAcentral lists this long non-coding RNA (1448 nucleotides) under Cicer arietinum (chickpea). RNAcentral describes it as "long non-coding RNA (CARI_LNC000933)". Lineage: Eukaryota; Viridiplantae; Streptophyta; Magnoliopsida; Fabales; Fabaceae. The record is from RNAcentral.